Molecule: non-coding RNA, 1144 nt
Organism: Nothobranchius furzeri (turquoise killifish)
Lineage: Eukaryota; Metazoa; Chordata; Actinopteri; Cyprinodontiformes; Nothobranchiidae
Source: RefSeq, a predicted model, not a curated record
AAAAAAAUAUAUAGAAUUCUGAGAAAAUAAGUCAUAAAUCUGAGUUUAAUCUCAGAGUUCUGACUGGUACCUAAAACAAAAAAAAAGGGAAAUUGGGGAAGAUUAUGAGGGGGGAUCAGAAUUCUGACUUAAAUCUUAAAAUUCGGGCAUUUUUUUUUUGUUUUGAUUUUUUUUAACAAAACAAUUCCUAAAUAGUUUUUUGUUUGUUUGGCUUUAGGUUCAUGAAAAAAGUCAGAAUUCUGACUUUAAUCCCAGAAUUUUGAAAUUAUCUGACUUUUUUUUUCUCAAUUCUUUUCUUUUUCUUCAGUGACUCUAAUACUCUUAGGCAAUAAGGCAGUAUUAGGGCCACUGAAGGAAACAAUUGAAUACUGAGAUAAAUGUCAGAAUUCUGACUUUAUUUAUUUUCAGAAUUUUUUCUUCUUCAGUGGCCCUAAUACCCCUCCGUAUUAUGUAAUGUUAAACACUUCAAAUUAACUUUUGAAUUCAGCAGUUUAUCAUUGGAUUUAGAUGCAGAUAUCACUGUCUUGGAAAAAUGGUCAGAGCAAUUUGGCAUUAAGUUUGAUUAGUAAACUUGACAAUAUUUACACUCUUAAUCUUCUUAGGAAUUACAUGAUGUCCACACAAGGCGUACCACUGUUCUCCAUGCCCUUCCUGUCUAUCUACGUGAGGAAACCUGUGGAUUUUUGAGGACAUGUGUGGAUGAUACCAAUGAGCCAGACCUCAGGGAUGCAGCAGUUGUCCUCCUGACAACCAUCACCGAUGAUGCCGAGAGUCGAGUUACGUACGACCCAGUGAGAAUCUGUUAUCCUAGAGGGUGAUGUGAUUGUCAACCUCUCCAGGCUUCCUGAUGCCUUCCUGGGCAUGCUCAGUUGAAGUUUCCAUCUCUGCGUGUUCAAGAUGUAAGAAAAAUAACACGAAAGAAAUGCAACAAUGAAAACUUCAAAAAGGCAUCAACAACCAAGCAAGUGGAUCCAUAAAAUGGACUGAUUUUUUUAAAGGCAUUUUUAAAAAGUCUUUCAAAAUGGACAGAAUUAACGCGUCAUGUUCAGAACAGUUUGCGUUCUCAUCUUUGAUUAAUCCUGGUAAACAGGUCUGUUUUUGUUCUGUUCUAAUUCUCUCUGUUUAAUAAAUUUAAACAAAAUGA